GACAGGUGGAGCGAUUAGAAGUGAGAAUGCCGGUAUGAGUAGCGAAAGACAGGUGAGAAUCCUGUCCACCGAAUGACUAAGGUUUCCUGGGGAAGGCUCGUCCUCCCAGGGUUAGUCGGGACCUAAGCUGAGGCCGAAUGGCGUAGGCGAUGGUCAACAGGUUGAUAUUCCUGUACCAGUUUCUUUUGUUUGACCGAUGGAGGGACGCAGCAGGCUAAGAUAUGCCCACUGAUGGAUGUGGGUGCAAAUAAUAAGUCUGGCGAUGAGUCAAAUGCUU
Molecule: ribosomal RNA, 277 nt
Filed under: Dolosigranulum pigrum
Lineage: Bacteria; Bacillati; Bacillota; Bacilli; Lactobacillales; Carnobacteriaceae
Description: partial 23S ribosomal RNA
Rfam family: Bacterial large subunit ribosomal RNA
Source: RNAcentral